CCUACGGGAGGCAGCAGUGGGGAAUAUUGCACAAUGGGGGAAACCCUGAUGCAGCGACGCCGCGUGAGUGAAGAAGUAUUUCGGUAUGUAAAGCUCUAUCAGCAGGGAAGAAAAUGACGGUACCUGAUUAAGAAGCCCCGGCUAACUACGUGCCAGCAGCCGCGGGAAUACGUAGGGGGCAAGAGUUAUCCGGAUUUACUGGGUGUAAAGGGAGCUUGGACGGCAGCACAAGUCUGGAUUGAAAUGCCGGGGCUUAACCCCGGAACUGCUUUGGAAACUGUGCAGCUAGAGUGCAGGAGGGGUAAGUGGAAUUCCUAGUGUAGCGGUGAAAUGCGUAGAUAGUAGGAGGAACACCAGUGGCGAAGGCGGCUUACUGGACUGUAACUGACGUUGAGGCUCGAAAGCGUGGGGAGCAAACAGGAUUAGAUACCCUUGUAGUC
Molecule: ribosomal RNA, 440 nt
Filed under: uncultured bacterium
Lineage: Bacteria
Description: partial 16S ribosomal RNA
Rfam family: Bacterial small subunit ribosomal RNA
Source: RNAcentral